GACGAACGCUGGCGGCGUGCUUAACACAUGCAAGUCGAACGCUGAAGCUCAGCUUGCUGGGUGGAUGAGUGGCGAACGGGUGAGUAACACGUGAGUAACCUGCCCUCUUCUUUGGGAUAACGCCCGGAAACGGGUGCUAAUACUGGAUAUUCACUGAUUCUCGCAUGGGGGUUGGUGGAAAGGUUUUUUCUGGUGGGGGAUGGGCUCGCGGCCUAUCAGCUUGUUGGUGGGGUGAUGGCCUACCAAGGCUUUGACGGGUAGCAGGCCUGGGAGGGUGACCGGUCACAUUGGGACUGAGAUACGGCCCAGACUGCUGCGGGAGGCAGCAGUGGGGAAUAUUGCACAAUGGGCGAAAGCCUGAUGCAGCGACGCCGCGUGAGGGAUGGAGGCCUUCGGGUUGUAGACCUCUUUCGCUCAUGGUCAAGCCGCAGCGUUGGGUUGUGGUGAGGGUAGUGGGUAAAGAAGCGCCGGCUAACUACGUG
RNAcentral lists this ribosomal RNA (482 nucleotides) under uncultured bacterium. RNAcentral describes it as "partial 16S ribosomal RNA". It matches the Rfam family "Bacterial small subunit ribosomal RNA", at positions 28 to 507 of the family's 1533-position model. The record is from RNAcentral.